GACGAACGCUGGCGGCGUGCUUAACACAUGCAAGUCGAACGGAAAGGCGCGGGCUUGGAGGCGUGCACGAGUGGCGAACGGGUGAGUAACACGUGAGUAACCUGCCCAUCACUCUGGGAUAACUUCAGGAAACGGGGGCUAAUACUGGAUAGGACCACCCGUUGCAUGGGGGGGGGGGGAAAGUUUCUGUCGGUGGUGGUUGGACUCGCGGCUUAUCAGCUGGUUGGUGGGGUAGUGGCUUACCAAGGCGUGGACGGGUAGCCGGCCUGAGAGGGUGACCGGCCACACUGGGACUGAGAUACGGCCCAGACUCCUACGGGAGGCAGCAGUGGGGAAUAUUGCACAAUGGGCGGAAGCCUGAUGCAGCGACGCCGCGUGCGGGAUGACGGCCUUCGGGUUGUAAACCGCUUUCGGCUGUGACGAAGCGAGAGUGACGGUAAUUGCUAAAGAAGCACCGGCUAACUACGUG
This 469-nucleotide ribosomal RNA is filed under the name uncultured bacterium. RNAcentral's name for it is "partial 16S ribosomal RNA". It matches the Rfam family "Bacterial small subunit ribosomal RNA", at positions 28 to 507 of the family's 1533-position model. The record is from RNAcentral.